RNAcentral lists this ribosomal RNA (514 nucleotides) under uncultured bacterium. Its description in RNAcentral is "bacterial SSU rRNA". It matches the Rfam family "Bacterial small subunit ribosomal RNA", at positions 283 to 795 of the family's 1533-position model. The record is from RNAcentral.
GUAGGGGUUCUGAGAGGAAGGUCCCCCACACUGGUACUGAGACACGGACCAGACUCCUACGGGAGGCAGCAGUGAGGAAUAUUGGUCAAUGGCCGGGAGGCUGAACCAGCCAAGUCGCGUGAGGGAAGACGGCCCUACGGGUUGUAAACCUCUUUUGUCAGGGAGCAAGAGGCGGGUCGAGACCUGCUGUGAGAGUACCUGAAGAAAAAGCAUCGGCUAACUCCGUGCCAGCAGCCGCGGUAAUACGGAGGAUGCGAGCGUUAUCCGGAUUUAUUGGGUUUAAAGGGUGCGCAGGCGGAGGCACAAGUCAGCGGUAAAAUCGCGGGGCUCAACCCCGCUCCGCCGUUGAAACUGUGUCCCUUGAGUGCGCGAAGGGUAGGCGGAAUGCGUGGUGUAGCGGUGAAAUGCAUAGAUAUCACGCAGAACUCCGAUCGCGAAGGCAGCCUACCGGCGCGCAACUGACGCUCAUGCACGAAAGCGUGGGUAUCGAACAGGAUUAGAUACCCUGGUAGUC